AACGAACGCUGGCGGCAUGCCUAACACAUGCAAGUCGAACGAAGGCUUCGGCCUUAGUGGCGCACGGGUGCGUAACGCGUGGGAAUCUGCCCUUGGGUACGGAAUAACAGUGAGAAAUUACAGCUAAUACCGUAUGACGACGUAAGUCCAAAGAUUUAUCGCCCAGGGAUGAGCCCGCGUAGGAUUAGCUAGUUGGUGGGGUAAAGGCCUACCAAGGCGACGAUCCUUAGCUGGUCUGAGAGGAUGAUCAGCCACACUGGGACUGAGACACGGCCCAGACUCCUACGGGAGGCAGCAGUGGGGAAUAUUGGACAAUGGGCGAAAGCCUGAUCCAGCAAUGCCGCGUGAGUGAUGAAGGCCUUAGGGUUGUAAAGCUCUUUUACCCGGGAAGAUAAUGACUGUGCCGGGAGAAUAAGCCCCGGCUAACUUCGUGCCAGCAGCCGCCGUAA
Molecule: ribosomal RNA, 449 nt
Filed under: uncultured bacterium
Lineage: Bacteria
Description: partial 16S ribosomal RNA
Rfam family: Bacterial small subunit ribosomal RNA
Source: RNAcentral